This is a long non-coding RNA of Oreochromis aureus, 1589 nucleotides long. RefSeq lists it as uncharacterized. The transcript is spliced from 5 exons. The record is from RefSeq and is a predicted model, not a curated record. NCBI's taxonomy places the organism in Eukaryota, Metazoa, Chordata, Actinopteri, Cichliformes, Cichlidae.
UAUUAACACUCGUACUUUUGUGUUAUUUCCUCUUUUUACAUCGCUUCCUGAACAGUUCUUAAAAAACCUCACAUAUGUAGAAAUGACUUCUCUAUGAAACUCGUAAGAAUAUUAAACAUCAUAUUUGUCGAGGAAAAAGUUCCACAGGAAAAAGACUCCUUUAAACUUCACUUUUUUGUAAGAAGAUGGCUGGAACUCUGACUUUUCUUCUCAUUAGUUCUCUGCUGCAGGAUGCACUGUGUGGAACGUUCAACAUCAGUAUGCCACAGAAUAUAAAUGUUUUGAGAGGAUCCUGUGUGACCAUCCCCUGCUCCUUUGAUGUAGAAAGCAGAUUUGAAGAUAACUUAGAUGAUACAUGCAAAGCAUAUUGGAGCGAUUCACCUUUAUUUAGCAGUAGAAAUGCAAAACUAAAGCCAACUAAAGAAAUGACAGGAGACUUAAAAAAGAAAGACUGCACCACAACUUUCAAUAAUGCAGAUUUUCUUCAAAGUACUAAAUAUUACUUCAGACUGGAGUGUAAUAAUGCACUGAAAUACAUUUUUUCACAAGCUGGUGUAGAUAUUUCAUUCAUAGAUGUUCCUCCUUCACCGACUCUGACUCCAUCCACACUGGAGGUGAAGGAGGGAACCUCAGUGAGUCUGACGUGCUCUGCUCCAGCUCCAUGUUGGUCUCAUCCUCCAGCUCUGACAUGGAGCCCUAACCUGGGUCAGAGUCAGGAGACACUGCAGGAGAAUCAGGACAAAACUAAAGUCAAGACCUCUGUUAUGAAUUUCACUGCUUCUCACCUCCAUCAUGGAAAUAAAAUCUCCUGCACUGCUGUUUACCAGAAACAAGAUGGCAGCCCUGAUGUCACUGCUGAAACAAGUUUAACUCCUGAUAUUUCAAGUGAGUUUAUUUGUCCUCUACCAUAAAUAAUGUCACUGCUAUUGACUUACUUUUCUUGACUUUGUUCAAAUUAGAAAUAAAACAGCUCGUAACGUAAUGAUUUUAGUUAUUCUGCAGUCAUGACUCCUCUGGGAUUUGCAAAACAUAAUGGAAGACUUAAGCUCCUAAAUGUUGAUAAAUAUACAAACUUUUCCUUUUAAAUUGAUUUCCUUGAUGUAUGAUUGUCUUAAUGAUUAAAGUGAACUGCAGGUCUUCUUUUCUGAGAAUACAUGACCUAAAAUUUCCAGUGAAACAUACAAUUUCCAAGCAAUAUUGUUUACUUCUGUAGGAACUCUCUAAUACUGGCUUAGAAUAAAACAAUGCUACAUGUAAUGAGUCACAUUUGACAAUUUUUUAAAGUUUAAACUACAAUUUUUAUUUGUUGUCAUAUUAACAUAUAGGGUUUUUGGACAUUUUUUAUUAGUUAUUUCACUUUACGCAUGUGUUUGUAUACGUUUUUAAUUUCACUCUGGUGCUCAAACUGGAAAGUAGAAUUGCAGAGCAGUUUUCCUUUUGUCACUUGGCUUUAUGGUCUGUAAUGGCAUGUUCCAUUAACAAUUCAGUCAGAAUGCAAAAGAAGCUGUGAUGUCUGUCUUUCAUAAUAUUAAAGUGAACAAAUUACCUUUCAAUUUCGUUAAUAUUCCUACUUUAUUGUGUACAUACCU